GCUCAAUUUGACUAAGCAUAGGAAAUCUUACCCGGGCCGACAGAGAAAAAAUUGACAGAAUAAUGGCAUGUUCUUGAUUCUGUGGGUAAUAGUGCAUGGCAAUGCUUAGUUGGUAGAGCGAUUUGUCUGGUUAAUUCUUAUAACGAAUGAGACUCUAGACUGCUCAGUAGAAACUCUAGAGUAUUUAUACUCAUAAACUAAAAUUAAAUACUUAACAGGUCAAAGAAAGGCUGAUUAUGUCCUCCCCUCCUGAGGCUAUGAAAUUUCCUUUAAGUGGAGAAUCCAUCCCAAGUUCAGAACUUUUGUUCUUUCGACUCUGGAAAUUGAUGGAGUAUACAGUUUUUUUAUGGAAAUCUAGAAUUACUUUUCUGCGUUAUUUUAAAUUUCAACAGCA
This 394-nucleotide non-coding RNA is filed under the name Stegodyphus mimosarum. Its description in RNAcentral is "Eukaryotic small subunit ribosomal RNA". It matches the Rfam family "Eukaryotic small subunit ribosomal RNA", at positions 1188 to 1437 of the family's 1831-position model. The record is from Rfam by way of RNAcentral. Lineage: Eukaryota; Metazoa; Arthropoda; Arachnida; Araneae; Eresidae.